RNAcentral lists this ribosomal RNA (369 nucleotides) under Epitrimerus sp. YN450 2. Its description in RNAcentral is "partial small subunit ribosomal RNA". The record is from RNAcentral. Lineage: Eukaryota; Metazoa; Arthropoda; Arachnida; Trombidiformes; Eriophyidae.
CCUGAAUUAACCCAGAAGUGACGGGCAAUUUGUGCAUACAAAAUAAAAAUUUCAAUUUCAACUUUAUUUUUGUAAAAUUUAAUAUUAGGUCCUAUUUAUUUCUUUUAAUUAAACAUUUUAAAUUAUUUAACCUAAUGUGUUUCGCUAAGACCAUAACAUAAUCCCUUGUCUUGAUUUGUAAUAAAAUUGAUUAAUAUAUUUUAAGAAGAUUUCUUUCAAAAUUUUCUAUGUACAAUGAUAUAAGAAGUUUAAAAUAGGGUUUAUUUAAUCGUGGAUUAUCUAUUACCAAGUAAAACCCCCUAAAAAAUUUUGUACCGCCAUCUCAUUUAGAUUUCUCUUAAAUAGUUACUAUCCUGAUUGGUAAUAAAA